GGUGGCGGCCGCAGUGGGGUGGAGGGGGCAGGGCGUGGUGAGGUAAGGUGAGUGCCGUAGUGGGGUUCCCUGGAGCCAUGGCCUGCUCCAUUGUCCAGUUCUGCUACUUCCAGGAUCUCCAGGCCGCCCGGGACUUCCUCUUUCCUCACCUGCGGGAGGAGAUCCUCAGCGGCGCCUUGCGGAGGGACCCCAGUAAAUCAACAGACUGGGAAGAUGAUGGUUGGGGAGCAUGGGAAGAAAAUGAACCACAAGAACCUGGAAUGUGUAACCAGUGCUCUAUGUAUCCCACUAGCAAGCCAAAAGAGAAUGGUGUGCUCUUGCUUGCACAGCUUUUGAAUGAGGACCCAGUACUUCAACUUAAAUGCAGAACCUAUGAAAUACCACGACAUCCCGGCGUGACUGAGCAGAAUGAAGAGUUGAGUAUCUUAUAUCCAGCUGCCAUUGUGACUAUUGAUGGAUUUAGCCUUUUUCAAUCUCUUCGUGCUUGUCGAAAUCAGGUAGCAAAAGCUGCAGCAUCAGGCAAUGAGAACAUACAACCACCACCAUUAGCUUAUAAGAAAUGGGGUCUACAAGAUAUUGACACUAUUAUUGAUCAUGCUAGUGUUGGUAUUAUGACUCUGUCCCCCUUUGAUCAAAUGAAGACUGCCUCCAAUAUAGGUGGAUUUAAUGCAGCAAUUAAAAAUAGUCCACCUGCCAUGUCUCAGUAUAUCACUGUAGGGUCCAAUCCAUUUACUGGCUUCUUCUAUGCUUUAGAGGUAUGAGUUUUAUCAAUGAUCAUGAGUAAGGCUGCUCUUGAUUUUACAAUUUGUCUACAAAUUGGA
Molecule: small RNA, 821 nt
Filed under: Pan troglodytes (chimpanzee)
Lineage: Eukaryota; Metazoa; Chordata; Mammalia; Primates; Hominidae
Description: retained intron
Source: RNAcentral